GAUGAACGCUGGCGGCGUGCCUAAUACAUGCAAGUCGAGCGAACGGACGAGAAGCUUGCUUCUCUGAUGUUAGCGGCGGACGGGUGAGUAACACGUGGAUAACCUACCUAUAAGACUGGGAUAACUUCGGGAAACCGGAGCUAAUACCGGAUAAUAUUUUGAACCGCAUGGUUCAAAAGUGAAAGACGGUCUUGCUGUCACUUAUAGAUGGAUCCGCGCUGCAUUAGCUAGUUGGUAAGGUAACGGCUUACCAAGGCAACGAUGCAUAGACGACCUGAGAGGGUGAUCGGCCACACUGGAACUGAGACACGGUCCAGACUCCUACGGGAGGCAGCAGUAGGGAAUCUUCCGCAAUGGGCGAAGGCCUGACGGAGCAACGCCGCGUGAGUGAUGAAGGUCUUCGGAUCGUAAAACUCUGUUAUUAGGGAAGAACAUAUGUGUAAGUAACUGUGCACAUCUUGACGGUACCUAAUCAGAAAGCCACGGCUAACUACGUG
This 497-nucleotide ribosomal RNA is filed under the name uncultured bacterium. RNAcentral describes it as "partial 16S ribosomal RNA". It matches the Rfam family "Bacterial small subunit ribosomal RNA", at positions 28 to 507 of the family's 1533-position model. The record is from RNAcentral.